Molecule: non-coding RNA, 101 nt
Organism: Pangasianodon gigas (Mekong giant catfish)
Lineage: Eukaryota; Metazoa; Chordata; Actinopteri; Siluriformes; Pangasiidae
Source: the annotation of a GenBank genome assembly
GCAGUUGUGGCCUAAUGGUUAGAGAGUCGGACUUGUAACCCAAAGAACCUGAACUUGUAACAUGAACCUGAAGGUCGUGGGUUCGAGUCUCAGGUCCGGCA